This 381-nucleotide ribosomal RNA is filed under the name uncultured Flavobacteriia bacterium. RNAcentral's name for it is "bacterial SSU rRNA". It matches the Rfam family "Bacterial small subunit ribosomal RNA", at positions 521 to 896 of the family's 1533-position model. Lineage: Bacteria; Pseudomonadati; Bacteroidota; Flavobacteriia. The record is from RNAcentral.
UAAUACGGAGGGUCUAAGCGUUAUCCGGAAUCAUUGGGUUUAAAGGGUCCGUAGGCGGGCUAAUAAGUCAGAGGUGAAAUCCCACAGCUUAACUGUGGAACUGCCUUUGAUACUGUUAGUCUUGAGUCAUAAUGAGGUAGAUGGAAUGUGUAGUGUAGCGGUGAAAUGCAUAGAUAUUACACAGAACACCGAUUGCGAAGGCAGUCUACUAAUUAUGUACUGACGCUGAGGGACGAAAGCGUGGGGAGCGAACAGGAUUAGAUACCCUGGUAGUCCACGCCGUAAACGAUGGAUACUAGCUGUUAGUUAUGCCGUAGGGUAUAAUUAGUGGCCAAGCAAAAGUGAUAAGUAUCCCACCUGGGGAGUACGUUCGCAAGAAUG